Molecule: long non-coding RNA, 432 nt
Filed under: Sorghum bicolor (sorghum)
Lineage: Eukaryota; Viridiplantae; Streptophyta; Magnoliopsida; Poales; Poaceae
Description: long non-coding RNA (SBIC_LNC018282)
Source: RNAcentral
GGGCAUACUUGUCUAGGACUAUUAAUGAUGUGAAGAAACUCUUAUCAUAUUUUUUUUUUCUCUUCCAUCCUUUCUCGCGGAGUUGCUGCAGCGUCAUACAAAUCGUGUGGAACUCUAACCUCCCUCCUUUUUGGACAUGAUCAUUGAUUCAAGAGCUACUUUUGGAGCAUCGAUUUCAUAGCUAUACUACCUACCUGGUGUAGUGGUGUAUCUAAAAGAACAGUCAUCUUUGAUUAUGAUGCGGUUUAAGUGAAUGUCUUUGGUGGCCAUUUUCAAUGAAAAAUUUCAUCGCAUUGUUUCUAAAAAUUGACACAUCAUAUAAAGUAAAGUAAAAAAUAAAAUAUAGAUAAAAACACCCAUCCUCAAUACAUAGUUUUAUAGAUAUUUAAUUUCAUGACUCAUAUAGAGUUAGUAAUUAUGUGAAAAGAGCUU